UCUCCUGUAGCUCAGUGGUAGAGCAUCUGGCGAUCGGUGUGUGGAAGGUGAUAGGUUCGACUCCUGUUGGGAGAA
Molecule: non-coding RNA, 75 nt
Organism: Desmophyllum pertusum
Lineage: Eukaryota; Metazoa; Cnidaria; Anthozoa; Scleractinia; Caryophylliidae
Source: the annotation of a GenBank genome assembly